RNAcentral lists this unclassified non-coding RNA (229 nucleotides) under uncultured fungus. Its description in RNAcentral is "sequence contains ITS1, 5.8S rRNA gene". The stretch from base 181 to 229 matches the Rfam family "5.8S ribosomal RNA", at positions 1 to 49 of the family's 154-position model. Lineage: Eukaryota; Fungi. The record is from RNAcentral.
UCUCCGUAGGUGAACCUGCGGAGGGAUCGUUACUGAGUGAGGGCUCACGCCCGACCUCCAACCCUUUGUUAACACAUCUUGUUGCUUCGGGGGCGACCCUGCCGGCACUCUGUCGCCGGGCGCCCCCGAAGGUCUCCGAACACUGCAUCUUUGCGUCGGAGUUUAAAACAAAUUAAACAAAACUUUCAACAACGGAUCUCUUGGUUAUGGCAUCGAUGAAGAACGCAGC